UGGGGAAUAUUGGACAAUGGGCGCAAGCCUGAUCCAGCCAUGCCGCGUGAGUGAUGAAGGCCUUAGGGUUGUAAAGCUCUUUCACCGAUGAAGAUAAUGACGGUAGUCGGAGAAGAAGCCCCGGCUAACUUCGUGCCAGCAGCCGCGGUAAUACGAAGGGGGCUAGCGUUGUUCGGAAUUACUGGGCGUAAAGCGCACGUAGGCGGAUAUUUAAGUCAGGGGUGAAAUCCCAGAGCUCAACUCUGGAACUGCCUUUGAUACUGGGUAUCUUGAGUAUGGAAGAGGUAAGUGGAAUUGCGAGUGUAGAGGUGAAAUUCGUAGAUAUUCGCAGGAACACCAGUGGCGAAGGCGGCUUACUGGUCCAUUACUGACGCUGAGGUGCGAAAGCGUGGGGAGCAAACAGG
This 404-nucleotide ribosomal RNA is filed under the name uncultured bacterium. RNAcentral describes it as "bacterial SSU rRNA". It matches the Rfam family "Bacterial small subunit ribosomal RNA", at positions 355 to 776 of the family's 1533-position model. The record is from RNAcentral.